RNAcentral lists this ribosomal RNA (425 nucleotides) under uncultured bacterium. RNAcentral's name for it is "partial 16S ribosomal RNA". It matches the Rfam family "Bacterial small subunit ribosomal RNA", at positions 354 to 796 of the family's 1533-position model. The record is from RNAcentral.
GUGGGGAAUCUUGCGCAAUGGGCGAAAGCCUGACGCAGCCAUGCCGCGUGAAUGAUGAAGGUCUUAGGAUUGUAAAAUUCUUUCACCGGGGACGAUAAUGACGGUACCCGCAUAAGAAGCCCCGGCUAACUCCGUGCCAGCAGCCGCGGUAAUACGGAGGGGGCGAGCGUUGUUCGGAAUCACUGGGCGUAAAGCGUGCGUAGGCGGUUAUACAAGUCAGGAGUGAAAUCCCAGGGCUAAACCUUGGAAUUGCUUUUGAGACUGUAUGACUAGAGAUCUAGAGAGGUUGGGGGAAUUCCGAGUGUAGAGGUGAAAUUCGCAGAUAUUCGGAGGAACACCAGUGGCGUAGGCGCCCAACUGGCUAGAUACUGACGCUGAGGCACGAAAGCGUGGGGAGCAAACAGGAUUAGAUACCCGUGUAGUCC